RNAcentral lists this non-coding RNA (279 nucleotides) under Saimiri boliviensis boliviensis (Bolivian squirrel monkey). The record is from RNAcentral. Lineage: Eukaryota; Metazoa; Chordata; Mammalia; Primates; Cebidae.
GCCAGGCAUGAGGUCAUGUACCUGUAGACCCAGGUACUCAGAAGUUUGAGGUGGGAAGAUUGCUUGCACCCAGGAGUUCUGGGCUAUAGUGCACUAUGCCAAUCAAGUGUCCUUCAGCAUCAGUAUGGUGUCCUCCCAGAAGCAGAGGACCACCAGAGGAGUGAACCAGCCAAGAUCAAAAAUGGGGAAGGUCAAACCUCUUGUUCUCAUCAGUAAUGGAAUCAACUCUGUGCAUAGCCACUCACUCUAGCCUGGGAAACAUAACAGGACCCUGUCUCA